Molecule: long non-coding RNA, 225 nt
Filed under: Sarcophilus harrisii (Tasmanian devil)
Lineage: Eukaryota; Metazoa; Chordata; Mammalia; Dasyuromorphia; Dasyuridae
Description: lncRNA (ENSSHAG00000027415.1)
Source: RNAcentral
AACCAUUUCAUCUUGGAGGAGAUAAACCUGCAUCCCUGAAGCCUGGAGUUUGGAACCGUGAGCUAUCUGUAAAUAGUCAUGAGAUGGACAUCCACUAAAUGAGAUUAAAAUGAGAGGAAAUGCGCUUAAAUCAAAACAGAAGAAAAUGUGGCAACAUGAAAGAAAGAACUUUUGACCAUCAAUACAAGAAGAAGGAAGAAGGAGGGAGAAGGACAUUAAAAGAGA